This 395-nucleotide ribosomal RNA is filed under the name uncultured bacterium. RNAcentral describes it as "bacterial SSU rRNA". It matches the Rfam family "Bacterial small subunit ribosomal RNA", at positions 29 to 425 of the family's 1533-position model. The record is from RNAcentral.
AUUGAACGCUGGCGGCAUGCCUUACACAUGCAAGUCGAACGGCAGCACGGGGGCAACCCUGGUGGCGAGUGGCGAACGGGUGAGUAAUGCAUCGGAACGUACCCGGAAGUGGGGGAUAACGUAGCGAAAGUUACGCUAAUACCGCAUACGAACUAUGGUUGAAAGCGGCGGACCGCAAGGCGUCGCGCGAUUGGAUGAGCCGAUGUCCGAUUAGCUAGUUGGCGGGGUAAAGGCCCACCAAGGCGACGAUCGGUAGCUGGUCUGAGAGGAUGAUCAGCCACACUGGAACUGAGACACGGUCCAGACUCCUACGGGAGGCAGCAGUGGGGAAUAUUGGACAAUGGGCGAAAGCCUGAUCCAGCCAUGCCGCGUGUGUGAAGAAGGCCUUCGGGUUG